RNAcentral lists this ribosomal RNA (919 nucleotides) under uncultured bacterium. RNAcentral's name for it is "bacterial SSU rRNA". It matches the Rfam family "Bacterial small subunit ribosomal RNA", at positions 353 to 1302 of the family's 1533-position model. The record is from RNAcentral.
AGUAGGGAAUAUUGCACAAUGGGCGAAAGCCUGAUGCAGCAACGCCGCGUGCGCGAAGAAGGCCUUCGGGUUGUAAAGCGCUUUUCGGGGAGAAGAGAAAGGACGGUAUCCCCGGAAUAAGGAUCGGCUAACUACGUGCCAGCAGCCGCGGUAAAACGUAGGAUCCGAGCGUUAUCCGAAUUCACUGGGCGUAAAGCGCGUGUAGGCGGUUCGGUAAGUUGGAUGUGAAAGCUCCCGGCUCAACUGGGAGAGGGCGUUCAAAACUGUUGGACUAGAGGGCGGAAGAGGGAGGUGGAAUUCCCGGUGUAGUGGUGAAAUGCGUAGAUAUCGGGAGGAACACCAGUGGCGAAGGCGGCCUCCUGGGCCGCACCUGACGCUCAGACGCGAAAGCUAGGGUAGCAAACGGGAUUAGAAACCCCGGUAGUCCUAGCUGUAAACGAUGUAGACUUGGUGUUGGUGGGGUAAAAGCCAUCAGUGCCGGAGCAAACGCGAUAAGUCUACCGCCUGGGGACUACGACCGCAAGGUUAAAACUCAAAGGAAUUGACGGGGACCCGCACAAUCAGCGGAGCGUGUGGUUUAAUUCGAUGCAACGCGAAGAACCUUACCCGGGCUUGACAUGCGAGUGGUAGGGAAGUGAAAGCGGACCGACCCUUCGGGGAGUUCGCACAGGUGCUGCAUGGCUGUCGUCAGCUCGUGCCGUGAGGUGUCCGGUUAAGUCCGGUAACGAGCGCAACCCUUGCUGUAUGUUACAAGUGUCAUACAGGACUGCCGGUAUAAAGCCGGAGGAAGGUGGGGAUGACGUCAAGUCAGCAUGGCCUUUAUGUCCGGGGCUACACACACGCUACAAUGGUCAGUACAAUAGGUUGCAAAACUGCGAAGUGGAGCCAAUCCCUAAAGCUGGCCACAGUUCAGAUUGCA